CCAUGGUGGAGGCAUGCUGGGCUCAUAUAAGGGCAGCCACUGGAGGGGGAGUGUUUCUUAGUCCUAGGUUGCUUCUUGAGGAGUGCUGUAUGACCAGAGAGUGCUUUCGCCAGUGGGGACUCCCCUGUGAAUAGAAGGAAUAGUAUUAUCAGUACUACAAACCUUGGGAAAUGAAUGUGAAGCCUGAACUGACAGCAACUUAGCCAAGCUCCAGGCAGGAUAUUCUGCAGCACGGUUAGAAAUUGAAGCCUGACUCUUAUCCAAGUGCAAGAGUGAUUUUCUGCAGAGCAAUCACUUUGGCUGUCUCAAAAUCAGGAUAGCUGCUCAAUCACGUUCCAAGCAGCGCAGUGCUUAGCAUGCUGAAGGAGGGCUGACAGCCCAGGCCUCACUGCAUCUGCAGUUCUGGAAUGGGAACAUGGAUGUUGAGUGAUGGGAGGGGGUUGAACUGGCUCCUAAAGGAGCAAAUCUUACAAAGAUUUUGAGGAAUGUGUGAGGCAUUACUUGGCAGAGCUGUGUGAGCGUUUAUAUAAUCUUCAGUGCAAAGUCAGUCUUAUUUGCUUGGGUGCUACAACAGAGUGAUAUUUUAAAGAGCUUCUACAAGCUAGAGCCUUCAGUUAUCUUCAGAUUGUCAGCUGCAGGCAGGGAAGAGUGAAUGAAACCUUGUCUAUGCCACUGAUCACCAAGAAGAUCCAGAAUAAGGCUCUUCAAAAUGCAGCAGUAGUAAGAAAAUCUAUUUCUCCCUACUUUCCAACUUGGCCUGUUGAGUUUCUUCAGCUGUCAUGCCUGUGAUUUGUAAGCAUAAGCUUGUAUGCAGUGCAGUAAUUUUUGUUUGUUUCAUGUCGUACUAUAGGGCUGCACCAAAAGGCUUUUGACCUUUUGGCCUUGGGCACUUUUUCUCCAGCAGAAAUUGCUGUGACAGAUUUCAGGAGUUGUGUUAAAAUAUAAAAGAAUAGGAAUGUUGUUCAUCUUUACCUUUUCGUCAUUCCUCUCAUGUUCUUCACUUAAGUAAAUCCACACAUUGCUCUGUUUUGUUUUCAGUUCCUAUUUGCCCUCAUGCUAAGAGUGCUGGUUUCCAUUAAUGAGUCCAGCAAUUGAUGACACUCGAUGAUAUCUCAGCAUCCAGAAAUCCUGAAAGCAUGCUGACUAUACAAAACACUGCUGUAAGAACUGACUGUGAGGUGGCUAUUUUUUUUCCCUUUUAAAAGGAUGCGGCUAUUUGGUGUUCCCAGCAUGCAUGUCUUGUCACUGUGGGCCAAAGGGAAGUUAAGUGUGGAUUUUGAUGGCUGACAAGAGAGUUUCUUCUUUUUUUGACCCCUCAUCUGACUAGAUAAUAUUCUUGCAGCUAUUACAGUAAGGCCAAGAAAGGGGGAAGAAAUUAUGGAAGGAUGCAUUCAGAGAAUGAAUGACAAGAAUGGAAAAAGAAACUUAAAGGGCCAGAUUCUGAGGCAGAAUGAGUAGCAGUCAACAGGGCAAAUGGCAAGGACUCAGAAAUGCUGUGGAUGUGCAGAGCUUGUAGUGAACAGAUUUUCAGUGCCACCUGGAGUAAUCUUUAAAUUAGCAGAUGGAAAACACGAGGGGUAGGAAGCUUAUUUAUCAGGAAUUAAGUGUAAGAACACAUCCUUCUCUCAAAAGGCCUUUGGGUUCCUUUCAGGGAUUCCCAAAAGAUCUAGCAGUGUCCUGUGUUUUGUCUACAGUGUUCUAAAUACAGCCUUCAGUCAUACCAGUCCUGUUUGCCAGCACUGAACUAGCUUCACGCCCUGUAAAUCCUUUGAGUACCUCAUGUUUAAGUCUAUGUAUUCAGAUUCUUUGAAUAUUCAUUUUCUUGGCCUGAAAAUAUAGAAGUCUAAUGCUUGUUAAUUUAAAGUGUGCUUACGUUUUUAUUCCCAUUCAAGCCUGCUGCAUAGUAAAACAUUUCUACCUUACAUAUUUUUCAUCUCUGGAGCAGCAUAAACUACCUUGGACUCAAAAGUGUGUGUAUCAUUUCAGCAACUGCUAUCGGUAGUAAACUGUCCUGAUAAAGGUGAUAUUUCAGUUGAUUC
Molecule: long non-coding RNA, 2039 nt
Organism: Lagopus leucura (white-tailed ptarmigan)
Lineage: Eukaryota; Metazoa; Chordata; Aves; Galliformes; Phasianidae
Exons: 3
Source: RefSeq, a predicted model, not a curated record